RNAcentral lists this ribosomal RNA (293 nucleotides) under uncultured bacterium. RNAcentral describes it as "partial 16S ribosomal RNA". It matches the Rfam family "Bacterial small subunit ribosomal RNA", at positions 775 to 1067 of the family's 1533-position model. The record is from RNAcentral.
GGAUUAGAUACCCUGGUAGUCCUUGCCGUAAACGAUGCAUACUAGGCGUAAUCGGUCUCAACCCCGAUUUUGCCGUAGCUAACGCGUUAAGUAUGCCGCCUGGGGAGUACGCUCGCAAGGGUAAAACUCAAAAGAAUUGACGGGGACCCGCACAAGCAGUGGAGCAUGUGGUUUAAUUCGAUGCAACGCGAAGAACCUUACCCAGACUUGACAUCUAGAGGACAGCUUCAGAGAUGAAGUUUCUCUUAUGAGUCUCUAGACAGGUGCUGCAUGGCUGUCGUCAGCUCGUGCCG